Molecule: unclassified non-coding RNA, 244 nt
Filed under: Hevea brasiliensis (rubber tree)
Lineage: Eukaryota; Viridiplantae; Streptophyta; Magnoliopsida; Malpighiales; Euphorbiaceae
Source: RNAcentral
CAGAGAGUCAGAAUAUAUUAACAAUUCAAUUCUCAUACAAAAAUGAUCACAAUAAGAUUCUUGGGGGAAAAAGGGCAGACUCAGUUGAUAUGCUGUGAACAAAUGACAAGAUUUACUUCGUAAUGUUGGAGAUCCAAAGAAGUGAAAUCAUUCCAUUUCUCACUAGCAGCCCGAAAAUCUUGGCAUGCAAACUGCAAAGUGAUGUUACAAACACUGAAAGAUACUAAUAUUCAUAAUUUCUAAA